ACAUAACUUCCGGUGAAGGAUGAGUUGAGCAGGCGCGACAUUGACCGCUCAAUCGCUUAAUACGCUGGCCGGUCUCCUCAAGAAGAAUGGAAAUAAAUGAGGGUCAUGACCCGUAUUGAGCGAGAGUAAUAGAAGAGAUCUCGCGAUUCUUUCAGCCUUCAAUUCCAACUAUUUCGCAGUUUAUCCGUUGCAGACGCUGGUACCUCGUAAACUCAUCGACACACAAUUCUAAUUUGGUUAUUUCUGCGUAGAAAGUGUAUGAUUCGUUAGCUAGUUAUUUCGAAGUUUAAGUGAAGUUUUGAAUUUUUUCUCGAGAAGUUAUUAUAUAAUUAUUUACAAGUUGUAUAAUUAUUUACAAGUUGUAUAAUUAUUUAAUAGUCUACGUCAACGAUGCUACGCGUUUGUGUUUCGUUAACAAGUAUAGGCGAUAUCACGUUUAUAUUUAUAAACCAAACAUUUCCAAACAAUAGAAUAAAAGACCUUGAUAAACCAUGACGCGAUUAUCUGCGAAAAGAACGCGAAGCUGAGGUAUCGGUCACGACGAAGAUAUCCGCGAAGGACGGCAAUUACAUUUCCUCGCGCCUAACAAGCAUAAUAUCCGAAGCGGCUAUUUUCUAUGCUCGUGUAAAGCCCAAUCCCCUCCAGCGAGAAGGUCAGAAGUCAGGAAAAAAGAAGCAGAAAGGGGGAGAGAAGCAGAUAAAGUGCUUGAUGGUGGGUGACAAGCUAAUAUCGAGGAUGGUAAGGUGGCCGAAGGGACCGACUAGGAGGCAAUAUCUUGUAAUGGAUGUGAUGUUUCUCGGCAAACUCAUUCCAUGGAAGGAAUGUGCGCUCACGAAACAAGUCACAAGCGAAACGCACGGAAUGUAAUGCUCGUGGGUCAGCACGCAUGAGCGGUACGUAAACGCACGGGGAAGACAAACAGAAACAGGACCGAUGGCGAAGAGAAGGAGGGAGGGAGGCAGAGGAGCGUUCGGAUGAAGAGAGCAAUAGGAAACGAGAGAGAUGAGGUGAUUAGAAACAACAACAAAAAAAAAAAAAAAGAAAAAAAGAAAAGAAAGAAAAGAAAGUAUAUAGUUUGAGAUAACUGGCGGUUGACGAACGCGCGUGUAUCUCGUAAAUGACGCUCUGUGCUAGCGGUUAUCCAGUUGACAAAAUCCCGUUUAUUGCGACAACGUUUCAAUUACGUCUCGAGCGAAAUGAACGAAACGAGUUGAUCGAAUUGCAUACAGCUUCCAUACAAAUUCGACACGUUCGCUCGCUCCGAAAUCGAAUACACAUCUAGGUCUGUGAAUCGUCAAUUACGCCUAUGCCACGCUCGACGAUUCUCCAACAUCUGAUUCUACAUAAAUUUAUAAAACGUCGACCGAUAGUUUAUACGGUUAGCAAGCGUCCAAGGUUCCGGAUGAAACGCAAUGUGCCUGUGACGUGCAGUAACCAUGAACGGUCGUGUACGAUGUCGAGCGCGCGCACACACAUAUACAAAGACGCGCGCGCGCGCGUGUUCACAAUCACACAUGGGCGUACUAUGCCGUGAACGAAAUUUCUGUAAGGUGUCUUGCCUUACCGUGUGCGAAAUUACCGGCUGACUGAUGGCAACAGUCCCAUGGCGAUUCGAUUACAUUCUAUCACGAUUCCUCUUGCGCCGGUCUGCACACUCGAGUGUCUACGCACUCGACUUCUCUACUCACGAAAAAAUAAAAAAAAAAACGAACGAACUUUACAGAAGAAGCGCGCGUUUCU
This is a long non-coding RNA of Bombus pascuorum, 1740 nucleotides long. RefSeq lists it as uncharacterized. The record is from RefSeq and is a predicted model, not a curated record. The transcript is spliced from 2 exons. Lineage: Eukaryota; Metazoa; Arthropoda; Insecta; Hymenoptera; Apidae.